This 21-nucleotide microRNA is filed under the name Selaginella moellendorffii. RNAcentral's name for it is "smo-miR1082b". Lineage: Eukaryota; Viridiplantae; Streptophyta; Lycopodiopsida; Selaginellales; Selaginellaceae. The record is from miRBase by way of RNAcentral.
GUGUUGGCCUGCUGGCCGGCG